UACAGAGGGGGCGAGCGUUAAUCGGAAUUACCGGGCGUAAAGCGUGCGUAGACGGCUAUCUAAGUCGGGUGUGAAAGCCCCGGGCUCAACCUGGGAAUUGCAUUCGAGACUGAAUAGCUAGGGUGCGGUAGAGGGAAGCGGAAUUUCCGGUGUAGAGGUGAAAUUCGUAGAUAUCAGGAGGAACACCGGUGGCGAAAGCGGCUUCCUGGCCCGACAUUGACGCUCAUGUACGAAAGCGUGGGGAGCAAACAGG
This 253-nucleotide ribosomal RNA is filed under the name uncultured bacterium. Its description in RNAcentral is "partial 16S ribosomal RNA". It matches the Rfam family "Bacterial small subunit ribosomal RNA", at positions 524 to 776 of the family's 1533-position model. The record is from RNAcentral.